AUUGAACGCUGGCGGCAUGCCUUACACAUGCAAGUCGAACGGCAGCACGGGGGCAACCCUGGUGGCGAGUGGCGAACGGGUGAGUAAUACAUCGGAACGUGCCCUGAAGUGGGGGAUAACGUAGCGAAAGUUACGCUAAUACCGCAUAUUCUGUGAGCAGGAAAGCAGGGGAUCGCAAGACCUUGCGCUUUAGGAGCGGCCGAUGUCGGAUUAGCUAGUUGGUGGGGUAAAAGCUCACCAAGGCGACGAUCCGUAGCGGGUCUGAGAGGAUGAUCCGCCACACUGGGACUGAGACACGGCCCAGACUCCUACGGGAGGCAGUAGUGGGAAAUUUUGGACAAUGGGCGCAAGCCUGGUCCAGCCAUGCCGCGUGAGUGAAGAAGGCCUUCGGGUUGUAAAGCUCUUUCGGCCGGGAAGAAAUCGCACGGGAUAAUACCCUGUGUGGAUGACGGUACCGGAAUAAGAAGCACCGGCUAACUACGUGCCAGCCGCCGCGGUAA
Molecule: ribosomal RNA, 500 nt
Filed under: uncultured bacterium
Lineage: Bacteria
Description: partial 16S ribosomal RNA
Rfam family: Bacterial small subunit ribosomal RNA
Source: RNAcentral